GGAAGAUCAUAGGACUAAUACGCAUAAAAGAGAGAUCAAGGAGACAAAAUAAACCUUGUUUCUUUGCCUGAGUGCUUGUGCAACAUGUCUAGAUUUUGUUGUAAUUUGCAACCAUCUUUAGAUUGAAAUAAACCCUGUAACUUAAUUGUUUAGUAGAAUCGUUUUCUUACAUCAUUGGUUCCCCCCAUUAACCCCAUCCCCC
This 202-nucleotide unclassified non-coding RNA is filed under the name Hevea brasiliensis (rubber tree). The record is from RNAcentral. Lineage: Eukaryota; Viridiplantae; Streptophyta; Magnoliopsida; Malpighiales; Euphorbiaceae.